This 1017-nucleotide ribosomal RNA is filed under the name uncultured bacterium. RNAcentral's name for it is "bacterial SSU rRNA". It matches the Rfam family "Bacterial small subunit ribosomal RNA", at positions 355 to 1375 of the family's 1533-position model. The record is from RNAcentral.
UGAGGAAUAUUGGUCAAUGGACGAGAGUCUGAACCAGCCAAGUAGCGUGAAGGAUGACUGCCCUAUGGGUUGUAAACUUCUUUUAUAUGGGAAUAAAGUAUUCCACGUGUGGGAUUUUGUAUGUACCAUAUGAAUAAGGAUCGGCUAACUCCGUGCCAGCAGCCGCGGUAAUACGGAGGAUCCGAGCGUUAUCCGGAUUUAUUGGGUUUAAAGGGAGCGUAGGUGGAUUGUUAAGUCAGUUGUGAAAGUUUGCGGCUCAACCGUAAAAUUGCAGUUGAAACUGGCAGUCUUGAGUACAGUAGAGGUGGGCGGAAUUCGUGGUGUAGCGGUGAAAUGCUUAGAUAUCACGAAGAACUCCGAUUGCGAAGGCAGCUCACUAGACUGCAACUGACACUGAUGCUCGAAAGUGUGGGUAUCAAACAGGAUUAGAUACCCUGGUAGUCCACACAGUAAACGAUGAAUACUCGCUGUUUGCGAUAUACAGUAAGCGGCCAAGCGAAAGCAUUAAGUAUUCCACCUGGGGAGUACGCCGGCAACGGUGAAACUCAAAGGAAUUGACGGGGGCCCGCACAAGCGGAGGAACAUGUGGUUUAAUUCGAUGAUACGCGAGGAACCUUACCCGGGCUUAAAUUGCAGAUGAAUUACGGUGAAAGCCGUAAGCCGCAAGGCAUCUGUGAAGGUGCUGCAUGGUUGUCGUCAGCUCGUGCCGUGAGGUGUCGGCUUAAGUGCCAUAACGAGCGCAACCCUCGUGUCCAGUUACUAGCAGGUUAUGCUGAGGACUCUGGACAGACUGCCAUCGUAAGAUGUGAGGAAGGUGGGGAUGACGUCAAAUCAGCACGGCCCUUACGUCCGGGGCUACACACGUGUUACAAUGGGGGGUACAGCAGGCAGCUACCGGGCGACCGGAUGCCAAUCCCGAAAGCCUCUCUCAGUUCGGACUGGAGUCUGCAACCCGACUCCACGAAGCUGGAUUCGCUAGUAAUCGCGCAUCAGCCACGGCGCGGUGAAUACGUUCCC